CCUACGGGAGGCAGCAGUGGGGAAUAUUGGGCAAUGGAGGCAACUCUGACCCAGCAACGCCUCGUGAAUGAUGAAGGUCUUCGGAUUGUAAAGUUCUGUGAUUGGGGAUUAACACAAUGACACUACCCCAAUAGCAAGCCACGGCUAACUACGUGCCAGCAGACGCGGUCAUACGUAGGUGGCAAUCGUUAUCCGGAAUGACUGGGCGUAAAGGUUGCGUAGGUUGUUUAGUAAGUUGGCGGUGUAAUUCCGGGGCUCAACCUCGGCGCUACCGCAAAAACUAUUAGACUAGAGUGCAGGAGGGGUAAGUGGGAUUCGUAGUGUAGCGGUGGAAUGGGUAGAUAUUAGGAGGAACAUCAGGGGCGAAGGCGACUUACUGGACUGUAACUGACACUGAGGCACGAAAGCGUGGGGAGCAAACAGGAUUAGAUACCCUUGUAGGC
Molecule: ribosomal RNA, 443 nt
Filed under: uncultured bacterium
Lineage: Bacteria
Description: partial 16S ribosomal RNA
Rfam family: Bacterial small subunit ribosomal RNA
Source: RNAcentral